UAUAUGAUUUGAUUGUACACCUCUUUGAUAUAUCAUUUCGAUAACAUCUUUGUUCCUCAAUCUGGUAAAAAAAUUUUACUCAAUUUGAUAACAUCUCUCAGCUAAAUCAUUUCAAUAGCAUCUUUUUGUGCUGCGAAUAUUUUUUUUUUUUUGAUUUGUAGAUUUAUAUUAUUGUUUAUAAUUAUAAGCUUAUAUGUACACAUAUUUGUUUUCUGGUUUGCUGAUUGUGAUUUUGUUUUAUAUUUUUUUCAGAGAUGAUUUGAGAGAAGUGGUCAUAUUUCAGACCUCUAAGAGUUCACCAUUCCGAUCCUGCAAAAGAUGUGCACUUAGAAUGGUAUUUUCUCUAUUGUACAUCAAAAUUGGAUAAUCAAUUAUAUUUUUAAAAUAUCUAUAGUAGGAUGGUAUUUUCUCUACUGAAAUAAUAUCUUAUUUCCUAAUCUCAUGCUUUAAUAUUUAAACUUUAAGGACAAGAUUUGUUAAUUAAAUCAUUAGUGUAAACUACUCCCGAGAUAUUCUCUUUUUUAUAUUUAAAAUGUAAUUUUAGUAACAAUAACAUCCAAAAAAAUACCUCGAUUGAGUAACGUGGUAGACAAAAUACAUGUAAGCAGAAGAGCUUGGUAGAUAUAAUUUUUUGCAGGUUUCUAAUUGAAUUUGCUUUCUUUAUCGAGAAAUGUACUUCAUAAUUUAUAUUAUUUAUGGAUAAUAUUUUGAUUUUUAUUAUAUUUUCUUUUAAUAUGUCUACAUAAAUGUUUGUUUAUUAUUUAUAGAAAAAUAAUAUUAUUCACCGAAAAUAAAGAAUUACGACACAUAUACAAUACAAUUUUAAUUAAUGAUAAUAUAAAAUCUGUUAUUUCUAAAACUAUACACUCUUUAUUCUAUUUUUUGAAUGAAAGUAUCUUCGUAAACACACAAAAUAUUUUGUGACGUUGCAAUUAUACAUACACACAAUAUAUGCCUCUUCAUACUAACGUUACUGUGUUCCCUCUCGUGAAGUGCGGAUCGAGAGGGAACACAGAGUGCGGGCCGGUCAUGUUCUUAUGCCCGCACAGGGUGCGGGCCGGUCACCUAGU
RNAcentral lists this long non-coding RNA (1070 nucleotides) under Brassica rapa (field mustard). Its description in RNAcentral is "long non-coding RNA (BRAP_LNC000276)". Lineage: Eukaryota; Viridiplantae; Streptophyta; Magnoliopsida; Brassicales; Brassicaceae. The record is from RNAcentral.